UAAAUGUGUCACUUUUUUAUUGGUUACGUUUUGUUUUGUUUUUUUGUUUUUUUUGUUUUUAUCUUCGACAAAAUCAAAACGAUCGAAACUUUGAUGGAAACUUUGAUGAUGAUGAUUUGAUCUAUAUUGGUGAUGAUUACCCGAUCUAUAUUGUUCAAAGCUGGUGAAAAGGUUUUGUUGAAACUGGUUAACAAGAAAGACUUUCACAUGGCGUCAAGGAAUCAGGAGAAUUCUUCUCUCCCAGAGUGCAAGAGUUUUACGACCUCUGCAAGGGGACUUUCACUGGCAAAGCUCCUUCUCCUGCUUCCAUGGCUGUCCAAAAACUAUGCUCUGUUUUGGACUCAGUUAGUCCUGCAGAUGUUGGGCUUCAAGAGGAAGCUCAAGACGAUGAUCGAGGCUAUGGAGUUUCUGGGGUUAGCCGCUUUAAUAGAGUAGGACGAUGGGCACAACCGAUAACAUUCUUAGACAUGCAUAAAUGUGAUACUUUACAGUAAGCCUUUUAUUGAUACAAGCGAACGAAGAGCUUGUUAAUAUGUAUGAGAAGCGACUUGGUGACGCUGUUUAUCUCAGUUACAAGCUUGGCCGUACUAAUAACCGUGGCGAUGGUUUGCUUGCGGCUGUUCAUAAGGAUUAUUUUAGAGUUGUGAACUCGAGGGAUUGUACAUGUUUGAUGGUUCUCUUUGGCUAUUGAUGGUUCUCUUUGGCUAUUGCUUCAUUAAGGUUGGGAGUGCAUUCUGUUUUUGGCCAUAAGAUUAUGUCUAGAAAACGUUAAACAAUGGCAAGGUGAAAAUGUUGUUACCUCCAAAUCCUAGUUCCUUACUUCAAAUGGACUUAUUGGCUUGCAGGAUAAAACGGGAAGCAGCAAAGGAGCAAUGAUAGUAGAGGAAUGGGACAAGCAUCUAGGAAUAUUCUGGCAACUAAAAUUAAAUCUAAUGGUGGAUGGUAACUGUUGCUCAGUUCAAACAGCCUUAAUGUAAUUUGCUUCAGUUCUUCAUAUUCUUCUUAUUCUCCUCUUUCUUCUUGUCCACUUUCCUCUGUUUCUCUACUUAAAAACAUUUUUAAUAAAAAUUAUAUACGACACCCAUAUUUAGGGAUGACUAA
Long non-coding RNA from Camelina sativa (false flax), 1101 nucleotides. RefSeq lists it as uncharacterized. The record is from RefSeq and is a predicted model, not a curated record. NCBI's taxonomy places the organism in Eukaryota, Viridiplantae, Streptophyta, Magnoliopsida, Brassicales, Brassicaceae.